This 1438-nucleotide long non-coding RNA is filed under the name Zea mays. Its description in RNAcentral is "drought responsive lncRNA". The record is from RNAcentral. Lineage: Eukaryota; Viridiplantae; Streptophyta; Magnoliopsida; Poales; Poaceae.
GGCAUCCAGGGUGAGCAGGUAUGCAGUGAGGUACACGACUGAGGGGUCGUCCUCAAGCAGCUGCUGACCUUCCAAUGCACGCAUCCUGGCCAUCCAAACUGGACGGUGUCUCUGAAAGGGCGGAAAGAAUCUGAGCGGGGUGUCGGCCACUUCUUCUUCAUAGAUCUGACACAGGGCCCUCAAUGCCUUGCGAGCGACGACUUGACAGGUGUCUUUGAAUCUGUGCCCAGCAGCAGUGACACUCCAUUCCACAUGGUGCGGACUGGAUCCAAUGUAUACAGUCACGACACACUUCUCUGUGCCAUGCUCGACGAAUUCUCGACCAUCAUACUCUGGCUGGCUCCUGAUUCUGAGGCGGACUGUGCAUGCUCUCAGCAACUUGGGGAAACCAUCUUCAUUCUGGCAAAAGCUGGUUUGGCAGCGGACCUCCAUCUGACUUCUGAGAGAAGGAAAGGGGGAAAGCAUUUUUGAAAUGAAGGGAUGAGAGCAAGAUUUUUUUUAAGAAAAUAGUUUGGACUCAAAAACUUUUGAUCAGGCUAAGGGUUACGUCCUGCGGCCAACCUAACAGCUCUGAUACCACCUGAAGCGUCCCAAUCCUCUGGGACUCAAAUGUGAUACAAUUACUAGUCCCAGGAGGCUAGUAAACACAUUUAUACAUCAGAUGAUUACAGAUCUGCUUAAACGACAAACUUAUAAAGGUGGCGAACAACUUUAAGAGUUGGUCCACAACUCGGGACAUAUCAUCAGAGUGGGGCUGAAGCAGCCCGAUAUACGCAGCGAAGCAAAUCAGUGGUCCAACAACCACAGGCAAGGUUGGGAACAAGCAUAACUCUUACCCGAUCUCCUUUUUCUGAAAAAAAUAAAUAAGCAAGGGUGAGUACAAACGUACUCAGCAGCCCACCUUCACCCGCGGAAUGGGGAAAUCAGAUAUAAUGCAUGGAAUAUGUGGAGCUCAAGAUAUUUUGCAGAAACAACAAUAUUUUAUGCAGGGUUGUUUUGAAAAACAUUUUGUAUCUUGCAAAGCGCAUCCUCUCCAAAAAGGAGCAGGAAGUUUUUCAGUAUUAGAACAAAAUCCCCUGGACUAAACCAUCCAGGUAUCUCAGCAGUUUCCCACUGGUUUUCCUUUUCAAAAACAGCCACUGGACUUCCCGUCCACCAUAGCUCACGGCUAAACCGCCAGACCUUUUAAAAACCAUUUUCUCAAACGCACCCCUUUUUGAAAACAAAAACAUUAAUUGCCAUACCAUACCAGACUCGUCCAUACCAGUGGACACGGACUAUUCGAAUAGGUUUGAACUCUGCGCAGAGGUGUACACUUUACCCACUAGUCCGGUUUCUGCGAUCUCACCGUCGUGAGACCCGAAUGCCGAAUCUCUUUCUUUCCUCGCACGUCCUAACCUUAACGGUUAUACCGGAAGGAGUCAGGCCACCGCCAUGC